ACUAAGCGUACACGGUGGAUGCCCUGGCAGUCAGAGGCGAUGAAGGACGUGCUAAUCUGCGAAAAGCGUCGGUAAGGUGAUAUGAACCGUUAUAACCGGCGAUGUCCGAAUGGGGAAACCCAGUGUGAUUCGUCACACUAUCGUUAACUGAAUACAUAGGUUAACGAGGCGAACCGGGGGAACUGAAACAUCUAAGUACCCCGAGGAAAAGAAAUCAACCGAGAUUCCCCCAGUAGCGGCGAGCGAACGGGGAGCAGCCCAGAGUCUGAAUCAGCUUGUGUGUUAGUGGAACGGUCUGGAAAGUCCGACGGUACAGGGUGAUAGUCCCGUACACCAAAAUGCACAGGCUGUGAACUCGAAGAGUAGGGCGGGACACGUGGUAUCCUGUCUGAAUAUGGGGGGACCAUCCUCCAAGGCUAAAUACUCCUGACUGACCGAUAGUGAACCAGUACCGUGAGGGAAAGGCGAAAAGAACCCCGGCGAGGGGAGUGAAAAAGAACCUGAAACCGUGUACGUACAAGCAGUGGGAGCACCUUCGGGUGUGACUGCGUACCUUUUGUAUAAUGGGUCAGCGACUUAUAUUCUGUAGCAAGGUUAACCGUAUAGGGGAGCCGCAGGGAAACCGAGUCUUAACUGGGCGUUAAGUUGCAGGGUAUAGACCCGAAACCCGGUGAUCUAGCCAUGGGCAGGUUGAAGGUUGGGUAACACUAACUGGAGGACCGAACCGACUAAUGUUGAAAAAUUAGCGGAUGACUUGUGGCUGGGGGUGAAAGGCCAAUCAAACCGGGAGAUAGCUGGUUCUCCCCGAAAGCUAUUUAGGUAGCGCCUCGUGAACUCAUCUUCGGGGGUAGAGCACUGUUUCGGCUAGGGGGUCAUCCCGACUUACCAACCCGAUGCAAACUACGAAUACCGAAGAAUGUUAUCACGGGAGACACACGGCGGGUGCUAACGUCCGUCGUGAAGAGGGAAACAACCCAGACCGCCAGCUAAGGUCCCAAAGUCAUGGUUAAGUGGGAAACGAUGUGGGAAGGCACAGACAGCCAGGAUGUUGGCUUAGAAGCAGCCAUCAUUUAAAGAAAGCGUAAUAGCUCACUGGUCGAGUCGGCCUGCGCGGAAGAUGUAACGGGGCUAAACCAUGCACCGAAGCUGCGGCAGCGACACUAUGUGUUGUUGGGUAGGGGAGCGUUCUGUAAGCCUGCGAAGGUGUGCUGUGAGGCAUGCUGGAGGUAUCAGAAGUGCGAAUGCUGACAUAAGUAACGAUAAAGCGGGUGAAAAGCCCGCUCGCCGGAAGACCAAGGGUUCCUGUCCAACGUUAAUCGGGGCAGGGUGAGUCGACCCCUAAGGCGAGGCCGAAAGGCGUAGUCGAUGGGAAACAGGUUAAUAUUCCUGUACUUGGUGUUACUGCGAAGGGGGGACGGAGAAGGCUAUGUUAGCCGGGCGACGGUUGUCCCGGUUUAAGCAUGUAGGCUGGUUAUCCAGGCAAAUCCGGAUAAUCAAGGCUGAGGUGUGAUGACGAGGCACUACGGUGCUGAAGUAACAAAUGCCCUGCUUCCAGGAAAAGCCUCUAAGCAUCAGGUAACAUCAAAUCGUACCCCAAACCGACACAGGUGGUCAGGUAGAGAAUACCAAGGCGCUUGAGAGAACUCGGGUGAAGGAACUAGGCAAAAUGGUGCCGUAACUUCGGGAGAAGGCACGCUGGUGUGUAGGUGAAGCCCCUGCGGGUGGAGCUGAGACCAGUCGAAGAUACCAGCUGGCUGCAACUGUUUAUUAAAAACACAGCACUGUGCAAACACGAAAGUGGACGUAUACGGUGUGACGCCUGCCCGGUGCCGGAAGGUUAAUUGAUGGGGUUAUCCGUAAGGAGAAGCUCUUGAUCGAAGCCCCGGUAAACGGCGGCCGUAACUAUAACGGUCCUAAGGUAGCGAAAUUCCUUGUCGGGUAAGUUCCGACCUGCACGAAUGGCGUAAUGAUGGCCAGGCUGUCUCCACCCGAGACUCAGUGAAAUUGAACUCGCUGUGAAGAUGCAGUGUACCCGCGGCAAGACGGAAAGACCCCGUGAACCUUUACUAUAGCUUGACACUGAACAUUGAGCCUUGAUGUGUAGGAUAGGUGGGAGGCUUUGAAGCGUGGACGCCAGUCUGCGUGGAGCCAACCUUGAAAUACCACCCUUUAAUGUUUGAUGUUCUAACGUUGGCCCCUGACCGGGGUUGCGGACAGUGUCUGGUGGGUAGUUUGACUGGGGCGGUCUCCUCCCAAAGCGUAACGGAGGAGCACGAAGGUUAGCUAAUCCUGGUCGGACAUCAGGAGGUUAGUGCAAUGGCAUAAGCUAGCUUGACUGCGAGCGUGACGGCGCGAGCAGGUGCGAAAGCAGGUCAUAGUGAUCCGGUGGUUCUGAAUGGAAGGGCCAUCGCUCAACGGAUAAAAGGUACUCCGGGGAUAACAGGCUGAUACCGCCCAAGAGUUCAUAUCGACGGCGGUGUUUGGCACCUCGAUGUCGGCUCAUCACAUCCUGGGGCUGAAGUAGGUCCCAAGGGUAUGGCUGUUCGCCAUUUAAAGUGGUACGCGAGCUGGGUUUAGAACGUCGUGAGACAGUUCGGUCCCUAUCUGCCGUGGGCGCUGGAGAAUUGAGGGGGGCUGCUCCUAGUACGAGAGGACCGGAGUGGACGCAUCACUGGUGUUCGGGUUGUCAUGCCAAUGGCACUGCCCGGUAGCUAAAUGCGGAAGAGAUAAGUGCUGAAAGCAUCUAAGCACGAAACUUGCCCCGAGAUGAGUUCUCCCUGAGACUUUAAGUCUCCUGAAGGAACGUUGAAGACGACGACGUUGAUAGGCCGGGUGUGUAAGCGCAGCGAUGCGUUGAGCUAACCGGUACUAAUGAACCGUGAGGCUUAACC
RNAcentral lists this ribosomal RNA (2891 nucleotides) under Klebsiella pneumoniae. RNAcentral's name for it is "bacterial LSU rRNA". It matches the Rfam family "Bacterial large subunit ribosomal RNA". Lineage: Bacteria; Pseudomonadati; Pseudomonadota; Gammaproteobacteria; Enterobacterales; Enterobacteriaceae. The record is from RNAcentral.